This 468-nucleotide ribosomal RNA is filed under the name uncultured bacterium. RNAcentral describes it as "partial 16S ribosomal RNA". It matches the Rfam family "Bacterial small subunit ribosomal RNA", at positions 28 to 507 of the family's 1533-position model. The record is from RNAcentral.
GACGAACGCUGGCGGCGUGCUUAACACAUGCAAGUCGAACGGAAAGGCCCUGCUUUUGUGGGGUGCUCGGGUUGCGAACUGGUGAGUAACCCUUGAGUAACCUGCCCUUCACUUUGGGAUAUCUUCAUGCAACUUGAUCUCAUCCCGGAUAGGUUCUCCUCCUUCAUUUUGGGGCUUGUAAAGUUUCGUCGUUUGGGGAUGGACUCGCGGCUUAUCAGAUUGUUGGUGGGGUAGUGGCUUACCAAGGCUUGGACGGGUAGCCGACCUGAGGGGGUGACCGGACAAAUUGGGACUGAGAUAAGGCCCAGACUACAACGGGAGGCAAGAGAGGGGAAGAUUACACAAUGGGCGGAAGGAUGAUGCAGGAAAGCCGCGUGCGGGAUGACGGGCUUCGGGUUGUAAACCGCAUUCGCCUGUGACGAAGCGUGAGUGACGGUAAUGGGUAAAGAAGCACCGGCUAACUACGUG